Molecule: ribosomal RNA, 253 nt
Filed under: uncultured bacterium
Lineage: Bacteria
Description: partial 16S ribosomal RNA
Rfam family: Bacterial small subunit ribosomal RNA
Source: RNAcentral
UACGUAGGAGGCAAGCGUUGUCCGGAGUUACUGGGCGUAAUGGGCUCGUAGGCGGUCUGUCACGUCGGGAGUGAAAACACGGGGCUUAACCCCGUGCCUGCUUCCGAUACGGGCAGACUAGAGGUAUGCAGGGGAGAACGGAAUUCCUGGUGUAGCGGUGAAAUGCGCAGAUAUCAGGAGGAACACCGGUGGCGAAGGCGGUUCUCUGGGCAUUACCUGACGCUGAGGAGCGAAAGUGUGGGGAGCGAACAGG